This 466-nucleotide unclassified non-coding RNA is filed under the name uncultured fungus. Its description in RNAcentral is "partial internal transcribed spacer 1". It matches the Rfam family "Bacterial small subunit ribosomal RNA", at positions 338 to 795 of the family's 1533-position model. Lineage: Eukaryota; Fungi. The record is from RNAcentral.
CCUACGGGGGGCAGCAGUGAGGAAUAUUGGGCAAUGGGCGCAAGCCUGACCCAGCCACGCCGCGUGAGUGAUGAAGGCCUUCGGGUUGUAAAGCUCUGUGGGGAGGGAAGAAAAACUUGGGUUCGAAUAGGGCUCGAGGUUGACGGUACCUCCUUAGCAAGCACCGGCUAACUCUGUGCCAGCAGCCGCGGUAAGACAGAGGGUGCAAACGUUGCUCGGAAUCACUGGGCGUAAAGGGCGCGUAGGCGGAUCGGGAAGUCGGGUGUGAAAUCCCUGGGCUCAACCUAGGAACUGCAUUCGAAACUCCCGGUCUAGAGUGACGGAGAGGAAAGCGGAAUUCCCGGUGUAGAGGUGAAAUUCGUAGAUAUCGGGAGGAACACCAGAGGCGAAGGCGGCUUUCUGGACGUUGACUGACGCUGAGGCGCGAAAGCGUGGGGAGCAAACAGGAUUAGAUACCCUGGUAGUC